Non-coding RNA from Parelaphostrongylus tenuis, 73 nucleotides. The record is from the annotation of a GenBank genome assembly. Lineage: Eukaryota; Metazoa; Nematoda; Chromadorea; Rhabditida; Metastrongylidae.
ACCCCCGGUAGUGCAGCGGUUAGCACGCGCCUCCGGAAAGGAUGAGACGCGGGUUCAAAUCCUGACUGAGGUU